AGAGUUUGAUCAUGGCUCAGAACGAACGCUGGCGGCAGGCUUAACACAUGCAAGUCGAACGAAUGUAGCAAUACAUUAGUGGCGCACGGGUGAGUAACGCGUGGAUAUCUGCCUUUUGGUUCGGGAUAACCUUGGGAAACUAGGGCUAAUACCGAAUGGUUCCUACGGGAUAAAGAUUUAUCGCCAAAAGAUGAGUCCGCGUCCGAUUAGCUAGUUGGUGAGGUAAUGGCUCACCAAGGCGACGAUCGGUAGCUGGUCUGAGAGGACGAUCAGCCACACUGGGACUGAGACACGGCCCAGACUCCUACGGGAGGCAGCAGUGGGGAAUAUUGGACAAUGGGGGCAACCCUGAUCCAGCCAUGCCGCGUGAGUGAUGAAGGCCUUCGGGUUGUAAAGCUCUUUUGGCGGGGACGAUGAUGACGGUACCCGCAGAAUAAGCCCCGGCUAACUUCGUGCCAGCAGCCGCGGUA
RNAcentral lists this ribosomal RNA (470 nucleotides) under uncultured Pseudomonadota bacterium. RNAcentral describes it as "bacterial SSU rRNA". It matches the Rfam family "Bacterial small subunit ribosomal RNA", at positions 8 to 522 of the family's 1533-position model. The record is from RNAcentral. Lineage: Bacteria; Pseudomonadati; Pseudomonadota.